AUUACGUGCAAUUCGCUCUUUUGUUUUGCCCCGUCUGCUAGUAUCGAUCGAUAUCUUACCAUAGUUUUUGCCUUUUGAACAUUUACCAAAAUAAAUUUUUUUAAAUGGCUUAUUCCAACUGAAAAUCUUAAUUAGAAUAUAAAUGAGCAAUUUUUUGGGGUGAUUUUCAAAUUCAAAACUAUUCGUGUUCACACGGCACAGAGGAGCUGUAGAUCUUUCGCGAUCAAUCAAUAUAACGAAUAGACUGUUUGUGCAUGGUUUUGGAUUGUGUUUCUGUCUCAAGCUCAGCUUUGUGUAAAAUUGGUUUGGAGCUGGACCUCAGAACCUAUACUGUCUGUAAAGAGUGUUGCAGGGCACAACAAUUACAUCCAGUCUUUUCAUCAUUUUCUGAAGGAUCUAAAAAACAUGGCUGGAGGCUUCAUGGCCAACAGGAUAGACAAGCUGCAGCAUAAACACCACCUAGCCAAAGAAAAGUUAACAAGAAUUUUUCAAAAAUUAUUCACUUCCUUCAGAAA
Molecule: long non-coding RNA, 515 nt
Filed under: Daphnia magna
Lineage: Eukaryota; Metazoa; Arthropoda; Branchiopoda; Diplostraca; Daphniidae
Description: uncharacterized LOC123474741, transcript variant X2
Source: RNAcentral